UAUUACGAGCACAAGCUUAAAAUCCAAAGGACUUGACGGNGUCUCACCCCCCUAGAGGAGCCUGUUCUAUAAUCGAUACUCCCCGCUUUACCUCACCACCCCUUGCUCAUGCAGCCUGUAUACCUCCGUCGCAAGCUUGCCAUAUGAAUGACUCUUAGCAGGCUCAAUGACUUUGUCCGUCACUACGUCAGGUCAAGGUGCAGCCCAUGAGGUGGGAAGCAAUGGGCUACAAUUUCUAACUUAGAACAUACGAAUAUCUAUAUGAAAACAUAGACAUGAAGGUGGAUUUAGUAGUAAAAGAAAAAAAUUGUGUUUCUUUUAAUAGCGGCCCUGAGAUGCGUACAAACCGCCCGUCACCCUCUUCGAUAGCGUCCCUUCAGUCGAUAACAACUUUAUGCACUUUAGAAGAGGUAAGUCGYAACAUGGUAAGUGUACUGGAAAGUGCACUUGGAAACA
Molecule: ribosomal RNA, 456 nt
Filed under: Boophis erythrodactylus
Lineage: Eukaryota; Metazoa; Chordata; Amphibia; Anura; Mantellidae
Description: partial 12S rRNA
Rfam family: Bacterial small subunit ribosomal RNA
Source: RNAcentral